Molecule: long non-coding RNA, 1534 nt
Filed under: Cricetulus griseus (Chinese hamster)
Lineage: Eukaryota; Metazoa; Chordata; Mammalia; Rodentia; Cricetidae
Description: lncRNA (ENSCGRG00015039314.1)
Source: RNAcentral
ACACACACACACACACACACACACACUCAAGCACAAAGUAUAAAUAUAAAAUCUUAAAAAAAAAAAAGGAAGAGGGAAGACUUAACUUUUCAGUGAUCACAACACAACACUGUGUUUCCAGUAAUUUAUGAAUGAGAUUGAGAAGACGAGGGACACAUAGACAGUAGAAGUGCAUUGCACCCCAUAACCCUCCCUGGAAAAGCCAAAACAUUCAUACAGCAGGCUCCAAAGUUUUCCAUGCCUUAGCCUUGCCUCUGAGGCUUGUACCUUGCUUAUGCCUUUCUGGCUUACAUACCUUCUUGCUUAGUCACAGUUACUUCUGCCCUGAGUAGGGCCUUUUCUUAGUGUCUACCAAGGUUCUUCCUACCCACUCAAAUGAGACCAGUCAGCUGUGAUAUCCCUGGUGAAGGUUGCAGCUGUUCUUCCCUUCUGUCCUCUAAAGUUCUGGACUGUUGUUUGUCUCCCAUAUUCUGCUGCUGCUCCUCCUCCUUCUCCUCCUCCUCUUCUCCUUCUGUUCCUCCUUCUCCUCUUUCCUUCUCCUCCUCCUCCUUCUUCUCCUCCUCCCUUUUCUUUUACAUAACACCUAGUGUGGUCCUAUGUUGUUAUGUUAAAAUUACUGUUUCACCACCUCCAUGCAGAACAUAUAGAAUAUAAACUCCAUGAUCAGUGCUAUAGUCCAACCACUUAAAACAAUCAUUAGCACUAACAUACAGCUAGUAAAACUUUUCCAAAUGAAACAAGUGAAUGGUGAAUGAAUGAACCUUAACAUAAAGAAAUCUUGUCUGGUGUAAAAGUUGUUUCUUUGUUUCACCUGUGUCUUUCUUUUUGUGGUAUAUGGGAAGUGAGCAGUCUACUACUGCACUAAUCCCUAGAAAAGGGUAGGUAACUUUCUUCAGAAGAAAACAUACAAGACCCAUAGAAAAGAAUUCCUAUCAGAAGAUAAUCUCUUAAGUGAAAACUCAUGUGAUGGUCAGACUCCUCUGUAUGCAGCAUCAAAAUUCUAGUUAGACCAGCCUUCUCUAAUUCAAUUAUUAUUGUAAUCAAGUAUUUCUCCUUUUCUACCAGUUGGAUCAUUUCCCCUACAUGUACUAAAACCCAUUUAUGAACCUGAUAGCUCAAAAGAGGUGAAAAUUUUCAUAAGAAAAAAAAUGCAUGCUGUGAGCAUAUACUUAUGUGUGAGCUGAGGAUUAGAGUUCAGGUGUUCAUGCUUGUACAGCAAACAGUCUUACUGAAUCUUCUCACUAGCUCUCAAAUAUAUUUUACUAAGUGCCCAUGAAUGAAUUUCUAAAUUUUUAAAUUUUGUAUAUUUAAAUGUUUAUAUAAACCUUACUUUUUCUUUUGUGUUUUAAUAUUGCCAACCCACUUAAUGUGUGUUGUGUGUGGCUGUGUGAAAUUUGACUGUAAGAAUGUAGUGCAUAAGUCUAACAGUUGUUUCCGUUACAGUGAUAUUUACGAAUAAAGCUACUGCAGCUCUUCUUUCUCUUUCCAUUCUGCCUUCCCUUUUUCCUUGCCUUGUGUUGGUUAGAACUUCCAG